RNAcentral lists this ribosomal RNA (552 nucleotides) under uncultured euryarchaeote. RNAcentral's name for it is "partial 16S ribosomal RNA". It matches the Rfam family "Archaeal small subunit ribosomal RNA", at positions 514 to 1065 of the family's 1478-position model. The record is from RNAcentral. Lineage: Archaea; Methanobacteriati; Methanobacteriota.
AGCAUCCGUAGCCUGUCUGUUAAAUGCCCUGUGAAAUCGUUCUGCCAAACAGGACGGCGUGCAGGAUAGACUGAUAGACUAGGGACCGGGCGAGGUAAGCGGUAUUCCGGGGGGAGCGGUAAAAUGUGAUAAUCCUCGGAGGACCACCGAUGGCGAAGGCAGCUUACCAGAACGGAUCCGACGGUGAGGGAUGAAAGCUAGGGGAGCGAUCCGGAUUAGAUACCCGAGUAGUCCUAGCCGUAAACACUGUGUGCCAGAUGUUGCAUAAUCCCCGAGAUUGUGCAGUGUCGAAAUGAAGAUGUUAAGCACACCACCUGGGAAGUACGGUUGCAAGGCUGAAACUUAAAGGAAUUGGCGGGGGAGCACCACAACGGGUGCGGCGUGCGGUUUAAUCGAAUUCAACACCGAGAAUCUCACCAGAGGCGACGGCACAAUGACGCUCAGUCCGAAGGGCUUAGCUGUGGAGCCGAGAGGUGGUGCAUGGCCGCCGUCAGCUCGUGCCGUAAGGUGUCCUGUUAAGUCGGGCAACGAGCGGGACCUGUAUCCAUCGUU